CGCGGGGUAGAGCAGCGGUAGCUCGUGGGGCUCAUAAUCCCAAGGUCGUUGGUUCGAAUCCAACCCCCGCAACCA
RNAcentral lists this transfer RNA (75 nucleotides) under bacterium. Its description in RNAcentral is "tRNA-Met". It matches the Rfam family "tRNA". Rfam says of the family: Transfer RNA (tRNA) molecules are approximately 80 nucleotides in length. Their secondary structure includes four short double-helical elements and three loops (D, anti-codon, and T loops). The record is from RNAcentral.